UAUCUAUCUAUCUAUCUAUCUAUCUAUCUAUCUAUCUAUGUAAUUGCGCGUGUGUGUGUGUAUAUGUGUGAGUGGAUCGUCGUACUUAUUACAUGUAUGCGAAUAUAGUCACACAACAGAUGAGCUUAGUUAGACACACACAGCACGGGAGCAGCGCGCGUAUAGUGAAACUGCAGUGAGGCAGAGUGAGAGAUAUUUGGAAGUAGCAGAUGAAGUUGGUCUUAUUUUCCCACCACAACCACACCACCACCAUCACUACCACCACUACCACCACCACCACCACCUGAUUUGAGAAUCUAGUUGCUGCCUUACCUCCACUUUGCUCUAAAACACGUUCGGAUUAUCCAAAAUAUACAACACAGAGAAAGAAAGAAAGAGAGAGAAAGUAAGAGAGACAUCUUGUAAUAGAUUACUACAAAACCAAACUCUAAAAUCAUAUAUAUAUAUAUAUAUAUAUAUAUAUAUAUAUGUGUAUAUAUAAAUUAAUUUAUAAAUAUAUAUAUAUAUAUUUACAUAUCUAUCUAUCAAUAUAUAUAUAUAUAUAUGUCAUUCUGCUCCUUCGCUUCUUUGCUGUUUGAAUUCUUCCAGUGAAAGAAAGUAGGAAGGUGGUUCGACUCUCGCUGUUUCUCUCGCUUUCCACUCCUUAUAAUAUCGGACAAAACGAAUGCUGUGAGUACACAGAA
This 683-nucleotide long non-coding RNA is filed under the name Octopus vulgaris (common octopus). The record is from RNAcentral. Lineage: Eukaryota; Metazoa; Mollusca; Cephalopoda; Octopoda; Octopodidae.